UACAGAGGGUGCAAGCGUUGUUCGGAAUCAUUGGGCGUAAAGCGCACGUAGGCGGCCGACCAAGUCAGGUGUGAAAGCCUGGGGCUCAACCCCAGAAGUGCACUUGAAACUCUCAAGCUUGAGUGUGGCAGAGGGGGGUGGAAUUCCACGUGUAGCAGUGAAAUGCGUAGAGAUGUGGAGGAACACCGAUGGCGAAGGCAGCCCCCUGGGCUAACACUGACGCUCAGGCACGAAAGCGUGGGGAGCGAACAGG
This 253-nucleotide ribosomal RNA is filed under the name uncultured bacterium. RNAcentral's name for it is "partial 16S ribosomal RNA". It matches the Rfam family "Bacterial small subunit ribosomal RNA", at positions 524 to 776 of the family's 1533-position model. The record is from RNAcentral.